UGGGGGAGAGAAGACAUGUGGAGUCAGCGUCUACCCACCUACGUGUACAGCCUUUCCAGCUCACCACCUGGUCCAGGACGGGCUGUUGGACGUACGUGUGGGAGUAGGCUGUCUGCAUAGGAACCGUUCACUGAUGAAUUCUAGAAGACACAGGUCUGGGAUGGCCCUGUGGACACAACUCCUGAAAUGAGACCGAAUGACUGCAGAGACUGGCGCCACUGAAAAACAGAGGGAAAGAAAGGGCUUAUCGGAGAGUCCUCAGAUUAUGAUGAAAAUUCUUCAGGCAUUUAAAAGUCGACUUGUGAGAAGCCGCUGUAACCGUGCCAAGAGCCAGCUCUGUGGACCUCAGGAAUCUCAUGCUUCCAUCUCUGCUGCUGCCAACACCACGGUCAUGUUUUAUGUGUGCCCGUGUGAAUGGGGCCUCUGGGGAUCACAGACCCAGCUCCCCUCCCAGGUAGCGCCCUGCCCCAUGCAGGACUCUUCUCAACCCCAUGCUUCUAUAUCUGUGGGGAAGGUUGUUCCAAGCCCUUCCGGCCAAUGACACUCAGGCUUUUGGGUUGGGCAAAUUCUCAGGUCCCUCCGUGCCAUCCUACCCACUCUGGAGGGACUAACUAGUAUUUCUCUUAUAGCACUGAAAAAUAAAAUUUAUUUUGGGCCUCACAGAGCUCUAGGGACCACGUGGCUGUGUCAGCCCCAGGAGGAGGCAAGGAAAGGGUCCCUAUGGAGCCCAAAUCCGACAGGCAGAAGCCAGGUCAGAUGGUGCCCUGAGAACGUGCAGUCUAGAAGACCCAACCUGAGCCCUGACAACCCUCACCAGGAACUCAUAAGGAGGUGG
RNAcentral lists this long non-coding RNA (835 nucleotides) under Homo sapiens (human). Its description in RNAcentral is "HSALNT0370400". The record is from RNAcentral. Lineage: Eukaryota; Metazoa; Chordata; Mammalia; Primates; Hominidae.